UACAAUGUUAAUUGAUGUUGAUAAUGAUGACCCUGAGGCACUGCAAGAUCCUGAAGUGCCUUCUAAAUCAUCAAAGAAAGAUUAAGUUAUGUUAAGUAUUGCUUGUGUUAAAUGUAUUUUUGGUG
Long non-coding RNA from Dermochelys coriacea (leatherback sea turtle), 125 nucleotides. RefSeq lists it as uncharacterized. The transcript has 4 exons. The record is from RefSeq and is a predicted model, not a curated record. NCBI's taxonomy places the organism in Eukaryota, Metazoa, Chordata, Testudines, Dermochelyidae.